RNAcentral lists this ribosomal RNA (477 nucleotides) under uncultured bacterium. RNAcentral describes it as "partial 16S ribosomal RNA". It matches the Rfam family "Bacterial small subunit ribosomal RNA", at positions 28 to 523 of the family's 1533-position model. The record is from RNAcentral.
GACGAACGCUGGCGGCGUGCUUAACACAUGCAAGUCGAACGGUAAGGCCCUUCGGGGUACACGAGUGGCGAACGGGUGAGUAACACGUGAGCAAUCUGCCCUUGACUCUGGGAUAACUGCGGGAAACUGUAGCUAAUACCGGAUACGACGCCUUGGGGCAUCCCAGGGCGUGGAAAGAAUUUCGGUCAAGGAUGAGCUCGCGGCCUAUCAGCUAGUUGGUGAGGUAACGGCUCACCAAGGCGACGACGGGUAGCCGGCCUGAGAGGGUGACCGGCCACACUGGAACUGAGACACGGUCCAGACUCCUACGGGAGGCAGCAGUGGGGAAUAUUGCACAGUGGGCGCAAGCCUGAUGCAGCAACGCCGCGUGAGGGAUGAAGGCCUUCGGGUUGUAAACCUCUUUUAGCAGGGAAGAAGCGAAAGUGACGGUACCUGCAGAAAAAGCACCGGCUAACUACGUGCCAGCAGCCGCCGCCG